AUGACAGAGCUGCUAAGUGGACCCCUGCCUCUGGAGGUGUAGGACAGAAAAACCUCAUUAACUUUUUUUGUGCGUCUCCGUUUCCCCCCUCAGAGAACGCCCCAGCCUUCUCUGUUGAGUGAUUAGAUGUGCAAUGAAGAAAAAUUUCUGUACAUAUGUAACGUAGUCAGAGCCCAGCGGGACCGUCGCCCGGGGAAAUGCAAAUGAUCUCGUUUUUCUGUGGGUCAAUAACUCAGCCAUGACAUGAAUGAUUUAUGCUUGGCCUGAUCUGAAAACGUUGGUCCAGGCUCGUCCUCCAUCUUCUCUGCUGCUGAUUUUGUUUUUCCCAACAACGUGCAAGUGGUCUGACUGAGAAAAGUAUUUACCCCUAAAAGGUUUUCUUCUUCUAGCUAAAUGUUUCAAAGUGUGACAAAAAUCAAAAACAGACCAAAACAUUUUUUGUUUUUAUCUCUUAUUGCCUCAGUUUGUCUUAAAGUUUUUCCUUAUUGUUUUUAAGCUUUUCUCUGAAAAUGUAUCUUGUCUCAAUUAAAAGAUAUGUUGUAGCUUCUGUGGCUGUAAGAUUUGAAACUGAAUUCAUGAACCAAUCAGUGGAGCUUUUGCUCAGCACAUCUAGAAAAAACGGGGAUCUAAAACUGAACCUUAUUUAUGUUACAAAAUCCAACAAUUGAACCUGAGAUGUUCUGCUUCUAACGUUUUAUCACAUCCAACCCAUAAAAUUCAGUCUGUUGCACUGAGAUUAGACCAACACAAGAUGGUGCAUAGUUAUGUAA
Molecule: long non-coding RNA, 770 nt
Organism: Xiphophorus maculatus (southern platyfish)
Lineage: Eukaryota; Metazoa; Chordata; Actinopteri; Cyprinodontiformes; Poeciliidae
Exons: 3
Source: RefSeq, a predicted model, not a curated record